CCUACGGGUGGCUGCAGUGGGGAAUAUUGGGCAAUGGGCGCAAGCCUGACCCAGCAACGCCGCGUGAAGGACGAAGGCUUUCGGGUUGUAAACUUUGUUUAAGAGGGAAGAGCAGUAGACGGUACCUCUUGAAUAAGCCACGGCUAACUACGGGCCAGCAGCCGCGGUAAUACGGAGGUGGCAAGUGUUACCCGGAUUUACUGGGUGGAAAGGGCGUGUAGGCGGGGACGCAAGGCAGAUGUGAAAACCACGGGCUCAACCUGUGGCCUGCAUUUGAAACUGUGUGUCUUGAGUACAGGAGAGGCAGACGGAAUUCCUGGUGUAGCGGUGAAAUGCGUAGAUAUUAGGAGGAACACCAGUGGCGAAGGCGACUUUCUGGACAGUAACUGACGUUGAGGCACGAAAGUGUGGGGAGCAAACAGGAUUAGAUACCCUUGUAGUC
Molecule: ribosomal RNA, 442 nt
Filed under: uncultured bacterium
Lineage: Bacteria
Description: partial 16S ribosomal RNA
Rfam family: Bacterial small subunit ribosomal RNA
Source: RNAcentral